CCCCAAAUUCUCUUAAAUCCCUAAUUGACUCUUACCGAGCCCUAAUUCUGCUUCCAUCGUGACAAUACCCCCUCUAUCAGAGGAUCCUUGUUCCCAAGGAUCGAAACUAGAGAAUUGUGCCUUCAAGAUGGAGUAAUCCUCCCAUAAUGAUGGCUGGAUAUACCUUCAGUUGUUCAUCAGCAAUAAUUUCUGGAGGAUCAAGAGAGGACCAAAAUAUCUAGCAGCAAGCUUUAGAUUCUUUCGCAAAGCAAAUGAUGUCUAUCUGUAAGGCUGAAGUUUAAGUUAAACUUCUUAUCUUUCUUGAAAUUCUCGGAUUCAUUUCAUAGGGAAAGCUACUGGACCUGGGCUGGCAUGUAUUAAAGCCCACUUCUCCUUCAAGGUGUUCACCAUGGCCCCUUGGCUUGUCUCCAGUUGUUAGGCCUCUCCACUGUUAGCUUGUUUCAACCCGGAUCCCUCUGUUGGAAUAAGACCCAUUGACCACCCCUUCUCUUAAUUUCCAAUUUACCCGUGUAUCUCAAUCUUUAAAUUCUCCCAAAUCCCUAAUUGCCUCUUCUCGAGCGCUAAUUCUACA
This is a long non-coding RNA of Hibiscus syriacus, 571 nucleotides long. RefSeq lists it as uncharacterized. NCBI's taxonomy places the organism in Eukaryota, Viridiplantae, Streptophyta, Magnoliopsida, Malvales, Malvaceae. The record is from RefSeq and is a predicted model, not a curated record. The transcript is spliced from 4 exons.